GGGGAAGGCAGGUUGUGAGGAAGACUAAUUUAUGUGAGCCAAGCUGAGAGUAAUAUAGUAAUCUUGAAGAACUGCAGAAAUUUUCAUGACAAUUCAUAAGGAAAAUAUUUACUUUUCCCUAUCUGAAUUCUACUGUCAUGUCGUACUCCGGUGUUGCAUGAGCUGAGAGCGUCACUUACACUGGUAGUUCUAGGAAGGAAGUGUUGUGUUGUAGAGCUGGAUACCAAAGAGCUAAACAUGUCAGUGGGCAACCAUAGCACUGUGGAAUGCAAGGAAAUGGCAGAAGACCUCCCAGUACUGAUGCUGGAGAGAGGGCUUCAAAGUGGCCCAUAUGCAUGUGCAGAGAUACCACCUAACUUGCUGUCUUUGCCUUUGAGCUGGUGCUGUGAUGUUUGCGAAUGAAGUGCAAGCACCAGCAAGGCAGCGAUUCUACUGAGCAGCGCUGGGAAGCGGUGGCUGCUCGGACGCAGUGACAGAAUGGAAGCCAGCUGUAGCAGUGAAAGUCUCACAGGGUUAACCACAAAGUCUGCCUGCAGCUGCUGCAGCUCAAUACCCAGCAUUCACAUGAGGCCUCGCCAAACUGCCUUGUGACAUUUUUGAUUCACGUCAGGGACAGAGUACCAUUGUUUGGGGGAAAAAUAACUGUUUUAUAAAAUGUUCUGCAGGCUUUCAGUCAUUUAGUCUUUAUACUCUGCUCUGUGCCUCUCUCUAGGCUUGAAAAAGUUCUCCUUGCUUUGUUUUUCCAAUUGCUGCUUUAAAAAAAAAAAAAAGUGUUUCUGGCUUCAUUUCUUUCAAUGAGUAGCAUGAGCUUCUCCAUCAAGCUCUGGGAGAGGCCAGUGGCGGGCCCUGUUUUGCCUUAGACUCAUUGCUGUGACUGGGAGAAGGCUGAGCAGGAGCAGUAGCAUGCUCUGAUCAGCCAGGAAGGACAGUGGGUUUCAGGGGAUGGCCCUUCCCUCUGGUGACAGGCUGCAAGGAAGGAGGUGUCAAGGUGCCUUGGGACCUCUCGUGAUCCAGGAGGAGUGGGAAGCAUGCUUUUUCUUCUCCUAUACGAGUAAAGGCAAGUGCCUUCAAUGCUGGUUGACCUGGAAAGCCAAGCCUUGCCCUAAGCCCUCCAUGUCCAUGUGGUUGCUCUAUGUGAGACCUCAUUUCCCACAGGGCGCUGGGCAGAUGUAUAAGGAUGAGGUAUCCCACAGCACUGGGUCUCUGCUGGUGUAAGGAGAGAACAGUAAAAUAAAUCUUAUUACAAAGCUGUUCUUUAGGCA
Molecule: long non-coding RNA, 1262 nt
Filed under: Numida meleagris (helmeted guineafowl)
Lineage: Eukaryota; Metazoa; Chordata; Aves; Galliformes; Numididae
Description: lncRNA (ENSNMEG00000001990.1)
Source: RNAcentral